ACUUAAUUAGUUUAGUUAAAAAUAAUAAAUUGUGGAUUUAUAGAUGAAAUUUCAUUAGGUA
RNAcentral lists this transfer RNA (61 nucleotides) under Ixodes pacificus (western blacklegged tick). Its description in RNAcentral is "tRNA-His". The record is from RNAcentral. Lineage: Eukaryota; Metazoa; Arthropoda; Arachnida; Ixodida; Ixodidae.